GACGAACGCUGGCGGCGUGCUUAACACAUGCAAGUCGAACGGUAAGGCCCUGCUGUUGUCGCGAGCGCCGAAGGCGAGAGUGUGAGUAAAACGAGCGUAACAUCCCCUUGACAUUGGUAUAACAAACGGAUACUGGUACUAAAAACGGACAGGACCUCCUUCUGCAUGGGGGGGGAUGUUACGGCUCGGCGGUUGGGGAUGGACUCGCGGCUUAUCAGCUUGUUGGUGGGGUAGUGGCAUACCAAGGCUUUGACGGGUAGCCGGCCUGAGAGGGUGACCGGCCACAUUGGGACUGAGAUACGGCCCAGACUCCUACGGGAGGCAGCAGUGGGGAAUAUUGCACAAUGGGCGGAAGCCUGAUCCAGCAACGCCGCGUGAGGGAUGACGGCCUUCGGGUUGUAAACCUCUUUCGGCAGGGACGAAGCGCAAGUGACGGUAACUGGAAAAGAAGCACCGGCUAACUACGUG
RNAcentral lists this ribosomal RNA (468 nucleotides) under uncultured bacterium. RNAcentral's name for it is "partial 16S ribosomal RNA". It matches the Rfam family "Bacterial small subunit ribosomal RNA", at positions 28 to 507 of the family's 1533-position model. The record is from RNAcentral.